AUACCAUGGUGAGGGCUAUUUCUUUGUAGUUCCUGAAAUUCCUCCCAUGCCUCAUAGAGCGAAUCACCAUCCUUUUUGAGUAAAGUUCUGAAUCUCCCUCCUUAGUCU
Argentina anserina (silverweed cinquefoil) is the source of this 108-nucleotide small nucleolar RNA. The record is from RefSeq and is a predicted model, not a curated record. NCBI's taxonomy places the organism in Eukaryota, Viridiplantae, Streptophyta, Magnoliopsida, Rosales, Rosaceae.